This 292-nucleotide ribosomal RNA is filed under the name uncultured prokaryote. RNAcentral's name for it is "partial 16S ribosomal RNA". It matches the Rfam family "Bacterial small subunit ribosomal RNA", at positions 505 to 796 of the family's 1533-position model. The record is from RNAcentral.
GUGUCAGCCGCCGCGGUAAUACGAAGGGGGCUAGCGUUGUUCGGAUUUACUGGGCGUAAAGCGCACGUAGGCGGACUAUUAAGUCAGGGGUGAAAUCCCGGGGCUCAACCCCGGAACUGCCUUUGAUACUGGUAGUCUUGAGUUCGAGAGAGGUGAGUGGAAUUCCGAGUGUAGAGGUGAAAUUCGUAGAUAUUCGGAGGAACACCAGUGGCGAAGGCGGCUCACUGGCUCGAUACUGACGCUGAGGUGCGAAAGCGUGGGGCGCAAACAGGAUUAGAAACCCCCGUAGUCC